ACGGAGGGUGCAAGCGUUAUCCGGAUUUAUUGGGUUUAAAGGGUCCGUAGGCGGAAUAUUAAGUCAGUGGUGAAAUCUUGCAGCUCAACUGUAAAAUUGCCAUUGAUACUGGUUUUCUUGAAUAUGUACGAAGUGGGCGGAAUAUGACAUGUAGCGGUGAAAUGCUUAGAUAUGUCAUAGAACACCGAUUGCGAAGGCAGCUCACUAGUCCAUUAUUGACGCUGAGGGACGAAAGCGUGGGGAUCAAACAGG
Molecule: ribosomal RNA, 252 nt
Filed under: uncultured bacterium
Lineage: Bacteria
Description: partial 16S ribosomal RNA
Rfam family: Bacterial small subunit ribosomal RNA
Source: RNAcentral